Molecule: transfer RNA, 63 nt
Filed under: Erragonalia choui
Lineage: Eukaryota; Metazoa; Arthropoda; Insecta; Hemiptera; Cicadellidae
Description: tRNA-Arg
Source: RNAcentral
AGUAAAGAAGUAAAUUUUACAUUUAGUUUCGACCUAAAAAUAAGGAUAAUAAUCUUCAUACUU